Non-coding RNA from Epinephelus moara (kelp grouper), 659 nucleotides. Lineage: Eukaryota; Metazoa; Chordata; Actinopteri; Perciformes; Serranidae. The record is from the annotation of a RefSeq genome assembly.
UGUUACUGAACUAUAGAAGAGAGAGAAACUUGUAUAUUCAAAAGAGUUCAAUACACAAACCAUCAACAUUACCUUUAUUCAACAUGCUGUCACUGCAGUAUUGUGUCUUUUCUCUGCUGUUUCUUUACAUUCUAACAGGUGUCAGCUGUGAAGAACUCACUCCAGUCAAGAAUGAAGAGUACAGUUUAGAAGGCAGCACUGUUACUCUGUCCUACAGAUACUCCAAACAAGCAGCUGGGGAUGAUUAUUUCUUCUGGUAUCGACAAUAUCCAGGAAAACCACCAGAGUUCCUCAUCUCCCAUUCAGGAGGUGGAACAAAAAUAAGCAAUCCAAUUCCUGGACUGUCUGUUACAGUGAGUGAGGAUAAAACCCAAAUGGACCUGCAGAUCUCCUCUGCUGUAGUGACAGACUCUGCUGUGUACUACUGUGCUGUGAAGCCCACAGUGACAGGAAACACCAAAACUCUGUACAAAAACAUUAUGAGCAAAGACAACACAAUACUCCACAACAUCCACUAGAGGGAGUCACACACUGUUAGACUUCAACAGUUUGUGACGAUACAGUCGAGAAAAACAACUGGAAAUAAAGCACUGAAGAUGAAACACAAAAUGAAGGAAAGUUUCAUACAACACAAAGCAAAAUGAUAAUGAGGUGUGACA